RNAcentral lists this ribosomal RNA (460 nucleotides) under uncultured bacterium. RNAcentral describes it as "partial 16S ribosomal RNA". It matches the Rfam family "Bacterial small subunit ribosomal RNA", at positions 338 to 795 of the family's 1533-position model. The record is from RNAcentral.
CCUACGGGAGGCAGCAGUGAGGAAUAUUGGUCAAUGGACGAGAGUCUGAACCAGCCAUGUAGCGUGAAGGAUGACUGCCCUAUGGGUUGUAAACUUCUUUUAUAAAGGAAUAAAACGAGGCACGUGUGCCUUUUUGCAUGUACUUUAUGAAUAAGGAUCGGCUAACUCCGUGCCAGCAGCCGCGGUAAUACGGAGGAUCCGAGCGUUAUCCGGAUUUAUUGGGUUUAAAGGGAGCGUAGAUGGGUUGUUAAGUCAGUUGUGAAAGUUUGCGGCUCAACCGUAAAAUUGCAAUUGAUACUGGCAGUCUUGAGUACAGUUGAGGUAGGCGGAAUUCGUGGUGUAGCGGUGAAAGGCUUAGAUAUCACGAAGAACCCCGAUUGCGAAGGCAGCUUACUAAACUGUGACUGACAUUGAUGCUCGAAAGUGUGGGUAUCAAACAGGAUUAGAUACCCUAGUAGUC